Molecule: non-coding RNA, 854 nt
Organism: Pelobates cultripes (western spadefoot toad)
Lineage: Eukaryota; Metazoa; Chordata; Amphibia; Anura; Pelobatidae
Source: the annotation of a GenBank genome assembly
GUUUAAAGACACAUUACUGGGAGUAUUAUUGCUGUGGAGCUCUGUAGAGUUAUACACCGAGACACAUUACUGGGAGUAUUAUUGCUGUGGAGCUCUGUUAUACACUCAGACACAUUACUGGUAAUAUUAUUGCUGUGGAGCUCUGUAAUACACUCAGACACAUUACUGGGAGUAUUAUUGCUGUGGAACUCUGUUAUACACUCAGACACAUUACUGGGAGUAUUAUUGAUGUGGAGCUCUGUUAUACACUCAGACACAUUACUGGGAGUAUUAUUGCUGUGGAGCUCUGUUAUACACUCAGACACAUUACUGGUAAUAUUAUUGCUGUGGAGCUCUGCUAUACACUCAGACACAUUACUGGGAGUAUUAUUGCUGUGGAGCUCUGCUAUACACUCAGACACAUUACUGGGAGUAUUAUUGCUGUGGAGCUCUGUUAUACAUUCAGACACAUUACUGUUAGUAUUAUUGCUGUGGAGCUCUGUUAUACACUCAGGCACACCAACAAUACAGAGCUCCUAGAAAAGAGGGACAUCAGGAUAGAGAAGAGAGACAGAGGGAUUUGGGCCUAAAAUAGGGACUGUCCUUUCUAAAUAGGGACACCUGGGAGUUAUACGUGUGAUGUGAUUUUAUUCAUUAUAUCAUAAUGGGGACAUUUGGAAGGUAGGGAUUUAGAGUAGGAUGUACUGGGGUGCUUUAUUCUAAAAGAAGGUUAAGCUUGAUAAAGGCACAUGCAUAAUGAUUCAUGCCAUCUAUUUAUUUAUGACUAUUUAUCAAUCUAUUUUAAUAACAACAUAAAAAUAAAUUGAUCUGUGGUUAGGAAGAUUGUCAGUAGAACCCCAUAGCUAAUGAUUGUC